RNAcentral lists this ribosomal RNA (347 nucleotides) under uncultured bacterium. RNAcentral describes it as "partial 16S ribosomal RNA". It matches the Rfam family "Bacterial small subunit ribosomal RNA", at positions 338 to 682 of the family's 1533-position model. The record is from RNAcentral.
CCUACGGGAGGCAGCAGUGAGGAAUAUUGGUCAAUGGGCGGAAGCCUGAACCAGCCAAGUAGCGUGCAGGAUGACGGCCCUACGGGUUGUAAACUGCUUUUAUACGGGAAUAACGCGCCUUACGUGUAGGGCUUUGCAUGUACCGUAUGAAUAAGGACAGGCUAAUUCCGGGCCAGCAGCCGCGGUAAUACGGAAGGUCCGGGCGUUAUCCGGCUUUAUUGGGGUUAACGGGGGCGUAGGCCGCAUGUCAAGCGUGCGGUGAAAUGUCCGGGCUCAACCCGGGCCUUGCAGCGCGGACUGGCGUGCUUGCCUCCGCGUCACGCCGGCGGCAUUCGUCUUGUAGCGGU